RNAcentral lists this transfer RNA (40 nucleotides) under Ctenophorus sp. eyre. RNAcentral describes it as "partial tRNA-Ala". The record is from RNAcentral. Lineage: Eukaryota; Metazoa; Chordata; Lepidosauria; Squamata; Agamidae.
UAAAACCCAUAGAACUACUCUACAUCUCCUGAAUGCAACU